This is a long non-coding RNA of Manihot esculenta (cassava), 2843 nucleotides long. RefSeq lists it as uncharacterized. Lineage: Eukaryota; Viridiplantae; Streptophyta; Magnoliopsida; Malpighiales; Euphorbiaceae. The record is from RefSeq and is a predicted model, not a curated record. The transcript is spliced from 4 exons.
GAAACUCCAUCGAAAAGUAGAAUUCCGAUGCCGGACUCUAGCCGGGUAUUACAGACUACUAGUCGAGUUAAGGGAGUGGUUUUGGCUCAUCGAAAUUUCAGAUGCAUGGUGGCCCAAAGUCAUGCGGUUUACACGAGCUGGAUGGCAGGUCACCGACUUCGUCCUUCGCACAAAAAAUUGGCCUUCUCGCUUCACCACCAUUUUGGCCUCAUAAAAGGAGAUAUUGCCUUCGUGCUUUCUCCUAACUCAAUUCACCUUUCGAUCCUUUAUUUUUAUAUAUUCUCUCUUAGUGUCGUUACCUCUUUUAAACCUGUAAUUGUGUUCGUCACGUUGAAUGCUGCUCUUACAAUUCCUAAUCUCAAAACAAUCGUACUCGACUCUUCCGAGUUUACUGUGGCUAGCUAUUUCUGUUACUUGAAUGCAUAUCCAUGUGGGAAUAAUUUAUUUAGAAGUUCCACACUGUUGAUUUUUCAGAAUCCCAACCAUGUGGUUUACAUCUAUUAUGCUCAAGCUGCUUGUAGUUAGGCGUUGAUACCGGCUAUUAACAAAUUACUAUUGGUGCACAUGGUGCUCUUUGUUGCAAUUUUCCUUUUUUUUUGAGUUGGAAUAGUAAGAAUCACUCAUUUAAUAGCAUUAUGUCCACCUUGACUUCAUUGAAGUGUCAAAUGCAUCAUGCAAUUGACUAUUCUUAUAGAAAAGUUAAGCCCUGUCGGUGCUCACUCACACAUCAUAGUUUACUACUGAGCAAUUAUAAUGCCAUAAUGCAAGUGAGCAAUUGAGGAUCCUAACUAAUGAAAACUAAGUGUGGUUGUUCUCCUAUAAAAUGCUCUGGUUUACUAGAGAUGUUAAAGCUACUGGCAAUAAAUAUUGCCCAGAGGAGAAUCUGGAAAAUUAGCUCUUCUGUUCAUAAUCAGUGUCUCACUAAAAGGACAUUACUGUACGGUGCAUGGAAAUGCAUGCUACAUCUAGAAUUCCUAACCUGUUGGACCUUGAUGGCCUAAAACUUAGUUUCUUUAGGCUGGGUGUUGUCCCUUAACUUAGUUUUUGCACUCUUGAGCAUUACCUGCCUGGCAGUUAUUCCUUUGUUGCUGAUGCUAGCUAUUUGUGUUCCAUCUACUGAAGUUGGUCCUUCAGGGUUUUAUAGGUUUGGUGCUUUGAAUUGCUCAAGUAGUCUAAUUGAUGAAGUUAAAUAUGCAUAGACUAAUUUAAUUACUUUGUAACUGAUGUUUCUCUCCCUACAAUUUCAGAUCCCGGUGCAAGUGCUGAUCUUGCUGUGAUGCAAGAAGGACUUGCACACAUCUUACUUGUCGGUAAAAGGUAAGGCUUUCCUAAAGUAUAUUGAUUUCAGUGUCAUUCGUUGUGCGGUGAUUGCAAGCCCUGGUUUCACUAAGGUUGGUGGCUUGGGAGAUGUUGUGACCGGUCUUGGAAAAGCACUCAAAAAGAGAGGACACCUUGUGGAAAUUAUUCUGCCAAAAUAUGACUGCAUGCAAUAUGAUGGUCUUCCUGUUUACUUUAUUGAGCCUCAACACCCUGACAAGUUCUUUUGGAGAGGGCAGUUUUACGGAGAACAUGAUGAUUUCUAUCAUUUUUCGUUUUUCAGCCGUGCUGCACUUGAAUUGCUUCUUCAAGCUGGCAAAAAACCAGACAUAAUUCAUUGCCAUGACUAAUUUAAAAUUUGCUUCUAUAUGAAUGGGUCAUUUGAUUCUCUGUUUGGAGUUUUCUUGAAUAUUUGUUAUUUUCUUUGUGAAUGUGCAUCCAAUCCUAGAAGUCUUUCAUAUUUUAUUGAAUACGUGGGCUGCAUAACAAGAAUGGUGCCACAGAAAGGUGUACACCUUAUUAGACAUGCAAUAUACCGUACCCUAGAGUUGGGAGGACAAUUUCUACUACUUGGCUCAAGCCCAGUUGCACAUGUAUUUCUCUUUAUGCUACUGAAAAAUAUGCAAUGCUCUGUAUUUUGCAUAUAAUGUUGUCUACAAGAUUUUGAGAACAAACACACACAAGCGCGCACGCGAACAUAUGCAUUUGGAGAAUGCAUUCCCAUGGUUGCUUCCUCCUAAAGCAUCCAAACACUAUUUCAAGGUGCUUUUAGAUGCUUAACUGGAAAACAGAAAAAACAUCUCAAUUGACUGCCUUACUUGGAGAAUCUAAGAUAGUAUUUUGCAAAAAGAAUAAAAAGUCUUGAUCACUAUGCGUAAUGGAAGUAACAUGCUUGCUAUGUGGACAAACAAAUACAUAUGCAGAUAGUUGAAUUUAUGAAAUCUACAUGUGAUUUUGUUAAUGCACACCUUUGGACAUGAGCACUGGUUUUCAUUUACUAAACUAUUCUUUUCCUACUCCUCUGUCAGUUCCAAGCUUACUCCUCUCGACAUAUACUUUUAGUUUACUUGUUCAUUUCUUUUGUAGAGGGAAUUUGAGGUAUCGCAAAUCACUUUCAGAAUCAUGAGCACAUUCGGCUGAUAUUGAAGAUGAUUAACCUCUUUCUCAUUCCAUUUAUGCAGCAUCUGACAUGUUCUGUCAUCCCAUCUAUCUUUGAGCCUUGUGGCCUUACACAGGUAAAGCUAUCAAUCUUGCCUAUGCAAAUUUUCUAGAAUGGCAAAUAACCGAGUACUCACUUCUAGUCCAAUGAUAUCUGGUGGAUUUGAGAGUGAUAUCUUUAUAGAUCUCACUUUGAAUCAGUGACCUAGUGAACAUAAAUUAAUAUUUUAGGAUAAUUCUUGGGGCUUCAAGACUCCGGGGGACUUAACAUAAGAUUUUAUUCAUAACAUAUGUGACGUGCCUUUUGCAUAUUCAACAACUUUCCUGAAAUUAUUUACAAGUAUCAUGUGUAAUGACCCGAAAAUCGG